CCUACGGGUGGCAGCAGUGAGGAAUAUUGGUCAAUGGGCGCGAGCCUGAACCAGCCAAGUCGCGUGAGGGAAGAAGGCCCUACGGGUUGUAAACCUCUUUUGCCGGGGAGCAACGAGCGCCACGUGUGGCGCCACUGAGAUUACCCGCAGAAAAAGCAUCGGCUAACUCCGUGCCAGCAGCCGCGGUAAUACGGAGGAUGCGAGGGGUAUCCGGAUUUAUUGGGUUUAAAGGUUGCGUCGGCGGAGCGUUAAUUCAGUGGUCAACUGGAGGGGCUCAACCCCUUCCCGCCAUUGAAACUGGCGCUCUUGAGUGGAAGAGAAGUAUGCGGAAUGCGUGGUGUAGCGGUGAAAUGCAUAGAUAUCACGCAGAACCCCGAUUGCGAAGGCAGCAUGCCGGCUUCCUACUGACGCUGAAGCACGAAAGCGUGGGGAUCGAACAGGAUUAGAUACCCGUGUAGUC
RNAcentral lists this ribosomal RNA (460 nucleotides) under uncultured bacterium. RNAcentral describes it as "partial 16S ribosomal RNA". It matches the Rfam family "Bacterial small subunit ribosomal RNA", at positions 338 to 795 of the family's 1533-position model. The record is from RNAcentral.